CAUAGGUGUUGGUGAGGCAGAGUAAGAACAUGUUAUAGGGAAACUAUGACAUUAAAAGCAGCAUACCAUACCAUAAGAAUAACAGCGUCCAAGGAUAUUGAUCUCUCAUCUUCAGUGGUGAUCACGACAUGCUUGUCCCUUUCCUUGCAACUCAAGACUGGAUAAGAUCACUAAACUAUUCCAUUAUUGACCACUGGAGGCCAUGGAUGGUUCACAAUCAAGUCGCUGCUGUAUUUUGUCAUUUUCAUCACAGAAACAUGUGUAGUAGUUUCAAAAAAAAACAUAUAUGUGAAGAUCAUCAAUUUGUUUUCAUUGUAGAUACACAAGAACUUAUGCCAAUAAGCUGACAUUUGACACUGUGAAAGCAAGUUUACGUUUUUC
Molecule: long non-coding RNA, 381 nt
Organism: Brassica napus (rape)
Lineage: Eukaryota; Viridiplantae; Streptophyta; Magnoliopsida; Brassicales; Brassicaceae
Exons: 2
Source: RefSeq, a predicted model, not a curated record